GCUGGGAGUGAAGGCAGUGCGUAUGAUCGCUUGAUAUGAAAGACACAUCCUGUUUUAAAAGGUGGAUCGUGAGUGAAGCUCUGCAGGUCUGCCAUUGGCUUGAUAACAGUGGUUUAUGUUAAUUGAGUGAAUUCAAUUUAUAAAUAAAUCUUUCACCAAGCAUUCACCUAUUUACUGACAAAACAGAUCCAAAUCUUGUUCAGCCUGAUGCUCAACCUUGUAUGAUGAUGACCACAGCCAGGUGAUGGAGAUCUGUGUUAAUCACAGCCUGCGUCUCAAGAUCAACAUGACAAUAGCAGACCAUUUCUUAUCUUACUCUUAUCUGACUAAAUGUUCAGCAUCAUUGCAACAAAACAAAGAACAUUGGAUGGAGUAUUGGAGUAUUGGAUGAUCCCGUAAAGAAAAUAAUAUGGACUUUUUUGGUGAGAUUCUACAAAGAUUGACACAAUCCUAUUGUCUUUUAUUUUUACAGUUAAUAAUGCAUUAUAAACAUCCCAUUCAUUUGUAUUCUAUGUCAUCGAUCUGCUUGUGCUAAAAUGUAUACAUCUGAAUGUAAUGUCAAUAAUAUGUUAAUAUUCAGGAUUUAUUAUCAUAUGCAUGUUUUGAUGUUGCAUGUCAUGAUUUUAUUGAUUUCAUGUAAUUGUUGUCUAUUUAAAAUGAUUUUAAUUGCCAAAUUUUAU
Molecule: non-coding RNA, 680 nt
Organism: Misgurnus anguillicaudatus (oriental weatherfish)
Lineage: Eukaryota; Metazoa; Chordata; Actinopteri; Cypriniformes; Cobitidae
Source: RefSeq, a predicted model, not a curated record